UCCGGGCGGACGCCGAGUCCUGCCGCCGCUCCGGAUGCCUGGUCGACAGGAGUGGAUCGGCAGGAGUGGAGGACCCGAGCAGUACGGGCCGACCCGAUGACAAGGGCCGUCCCUCGGGGUGAAGCCGCUUCGGCGGCCGGGCGACUUCGCCAGUCCGAACCCGACAGGUCAUCCUUCACAGGCGGCUGACGAAGGGUUG
Molecule: small RNA, 199 nt
Filed under: Streptomyces sp.
Lineage: Bacteria; Bacillati; Actinomycetota; Actinomycetes; Kitasatosporales; Streptomycetaceae
Description: c-di-AMP sequence
Rfam family: c-di-AMP riboswitch aptamer (ydaO/yuaA leader)
About the family: This family represents a conserved RNA structure found upstream of the ydaO and yuaA genes in Bacillus subtilis and related genes in other bacteria. The ydaO/yuaA element is thought to act as a genetic "off" switch for the ydaO and yuaA genes in its native state. It is believed that the element may be triggered during osmotic shock leading to activation of ydaO, a predicted amino acid transporter gene, and members of the yuaA-yubG operon which code for KtrA and KtrB K+ transporters.
Source: RNAcentral